ACGGAGGGUGCAAGCGUUAUCCGGAAUUAUUGGGUUUAAAGGGUCCGUAGGCGGACCUUUAAGUCAGUGGUGAAAUCCUUCGGCUCAACCGGAGAACUGCCAUUGAAACUGAAGGUCUUGAAUAUAGUUGAAGUGGGCGGAAUAUGGCAUGUAGCGGUGAAAUGCUUAGAUAUGCCAUAGAACACCGAUAGCGAAGGCAGCUCACUAAGUUAUUAUUGACGCUAAUGGACGAAAGCGUGGGGAGCGAACAGG
This 252-nucleotide ribosomal RNA is filed under the name uncultured bacterium. RNAcentral's name for it is "partial 16S ribosomal RNA". It matches the Rfam family "Bacterial small subunit ribosomal RNA", at positions 525 to 776 of the family's 1533-position model. The record is from RNAcentral.